RNAcentral lists this ribosomal RNA (468 nucleotides) under uncultured bacterium. RNAcentral's name for it is "partial 16S ribosomal RNA". It matches the Rfam family "Bacterial small subunit ribosomal RNA", at positions 28 to 507 of the family's 1533-position model. The record is from RNAcentral.
GACGAACGCUGGCGGCGUGCUUAACACAUGCAAGUCGAACGGAAAGGCCCUGCUUUUGUGGGGUGCUCGAGUGGCGAACGGGUGAGUAACACGUGAGUAACCUGCCCUUGACUUUGGGAUAACUUCAGGAAACUGGGGCUAAUACCGGAUAGGAGCUCCUGCUGCAUGGUGGGGGUCGGAAAGUUUCGGCGGAUGGGGAUGGACUCGCGGCUUAUCAGCUUGUUGGUGGGGUAGUGGCUUACCAAGGCUUUGAUGGGUAGCCGGCCUGGGAGGGUGGUCGGCCACAUUGGGACUAAGAUACGGCCCAGACUCGUACGGGAGGCAGCAGUGGGGAAUAUUGCACAAUGGGCGGAAGCCUGAUGCAGCAGCGCCGCGUGCGGGAUGACGGCCUUCGGGUUGUAAACCGCUUUCGCCUGUGACGAAGCGGUAGUGACGGUAAUGGGUAAAGAAGCACCGGCUAACUACGUG